UACAGAGGGUGCGAGCGUUAAUCGGAAUUACUGGGCGUAAAGCGUGUGUAGGUGGUUAGAUAAGUUAGAUGUGAAAUCCCCGGGCUUAACCUGGGCACUGCGUUUAAGACUGUUUAGCUAGAGUACUGUAGAGGAUAGUGGAAUUUCCAGUGUAGCGGUGAAAUGCGUAGAUAUUGGAAGGAACACCAGUGGCGAAGGCGACUAUCUGGACAGAUACUGACACUGAGACACGAAAGCGUGGGGGGCAAACAGG
This 253-nucleotide ribosomal RNA is filed under the name uncultured bacterium. RNAcentral's name for it is "partial 16S ribosomal RNA". It matches the Rfam family "Bacterial small subunit ribosomal RNA", at positions 524 to 776 of the family's 1533-position model. The record is from RNAcentral.